This 576-nucleotide long non-coding RNA is filed under the name Mytilus galloprovincialis (Mediterranean mussel). The record is from RNAcentral. Lineage: Eukaryota; Metazoa; Mollusca; Bivalvia; Mytilida; Mytilidae.
UUGGGGUAUGUAAUUUCUAAAAAAAAUAAACAAGAUAGUCACAUUUUGAGCCUCAAAGUCUUCUUUUGUCUAUAUUGAAACCAUUUUGAAGCGUACAAAAAGUAAAAACAGUUUAGUAUUCGUGUUUGACAUCCAGAGUAUACAUAUGACAUCACAUUGUUUAGAUGCUAAAGACGAUUCUACAGUUUUGCAGACUUUUUCAUUUAUGCCAUUUUUAAGCCAAAAUAUUUAUUAAAUGACAUUUAAUUUAAUAUGUGGCAUUAGAAUGGAGAUAACAGUAUUGUGUUUUAAUCUUGGCCUUCCAUAAACUUGAUUUGACUGUCGCAAACAUCCAUUUCCCUAUCUCUGCUCUGCGUCGCUAGGUGAACUCAAUUUGCGACAGUAAAAUCUACGUUUUAUGAAGGCCAAGCUUAAAAUACAAUAGUUAUCUCCUAAAUAUACACAGCUAAAGAAUAAUAUACAAGAAAAAUUGAUUAUUCAUUUUAAUUUACAAAUUAUCACAAAAGGUUUCAUUUUUAUCAGCACUUUCAAACAUUGUAAAUACACAAUUACAAACACAUGUAAAUAAAGCACUUG